GAGUUUGAUCCUGGCUCAGGAUGAACGCUAGCGGCAGGCCUAACACAUGCAAGUCGAGGGGCAGCGGGGAAAAGCUUGCUUUUCCGCCGGCGACCGGCGCACGGGUGCGGAACGCGUAUGGAACCUGCCCCUGUCAGGGGAAUAGCCCAGGGAAACUUGGAUUAAUGCCCCAUGGUACCGUUAUAUCGCAUGAUAUUACGGUUAAAGAUUUAUCGGACAGGGAUGGCCAUGCGUACCAUUAGUUAGUUGGUGAGGUAACGGCUCACCAAGGCAGCGAUGGUUAGGGGCCCUGAGAGGGGGAUCCCCCACACUGGUACUGAGACACGGACCAGACUCCUACGGGAGGCAGCAGUGAGGAAUAUUGGACAAUGGGCGGGAGCCUGAUCCAGCCAUGCCGCGUGCAGGAUGACGGCCCUAUGGGUUGUAAACUGCUUUUAUACGGGAAGAAACGCGCCCACGUGUGGGCGUUUGACGGUACCGUAAGAAUAAGGACCGGCUAACUCCGUGCCAGCAGCCGCGGUAAUACGGAGGGUCCGAGCGUUAUCCGGAAUCAUUGGGUUUAAAGGGUCCGUAGGCGGGCCUGUAAGUCAGGGGUGAAAGUUUGUGGCUCAACCAUAAAAUUGCCUUUGAUACUGCAGGUCUUGAGUCAUGGUGGGGUUGCCGGAACAUGUGGUGUAGCGGUGAAAUGCAUAGAUAUCACAUAGAACACCGAUCGCGAAGGCAGGUGACCAACCAUGUACUGACGCUGAUGGACGAAAGCGUGGGUAGCGAACGGGAUUAGAUACCCCGGUAGUCCACGCCGUAAACGAUGGAUACUAGCUGUGGGGACUUCGGUCUCCGUGGCCAAGCGAAAGUGAUAAGUAUCCCACCUGGGGAGUACGUUCGCAAGAAUGAAACUCAAAGGAAUUGACGGGGGCCCGCACAAGCGGUGGAGCAUGUGGUUUAAUUCGAUGAUACGCGAGGAACCUUACCAGGGCUUAAAUGCAGGCUGCAUGGGGUAGAGAUACCCCUUUCUUCGGACCGCCUGCAAGGUGCUGCAUGGUUGUCGUCAGCUCGUGCCGUGAGGUGUCAG
RNAcentral lists this ribosomal RNA (1072 nucleotides) under uncultured Bacteroidota bacterium. Its description in RNAcentral is "bacterial SSU rRNA". It matches the Rfam family "Bacterial small subunit ribosomal RNA", at positions 9 to 1078 of the family's 1533-position model. Lineage: Bacteria; Pseudomonadati; Bacteroidota. The record is from RNAcentral.